GUCUCCUUAGUCUAGUGGUUAUUUUGUCGCUUCUCAAAUUUUAGCUGUACGCGCGAGGUCCUGAGUUCAACUCCCCGAGGUGGUCG
Mycena epipterygia is the source of this 86-nucleotide non-coding RNA. NCBI's taxonomy places the organism in Eukaryota, Fungi, Basidiomycota, Agaricomycetes, Agaricales, Mycenaceae. The record is from the annotation of a GenBank genome assembly.